UACGUAGGGUGCAAGCGUUGUCCGGAAUUAUUGGGCGUAAAGAGCUCGUAGGCGGUUCGUCGCGUCGGCUGUGAAAUCCCGAGGCUCAACCUCGGGUCUGCAGUCGAUACGGGGCGGACUGGAGUUCGGCAGGGGAGACUGGAAUUCCUGGUGUAGCGGUGAAAUGCGCAGAUAUCAGGAGGAACACCGAUGGCGAAGGCAGGUCGUCUGGGCCACUACUGACGCUGAGAAGCGAAAGCAUGGGGAGCAACAGG
This 254-nucleotide ribosomal RNA is filed under the name uncultured bacterium. RNAcentral describes it as "partial 16S ribosomal RNA". It matches the Rfam family "Bacterial small subunit ribosomal RNA", at positions 524 to 775 of the family's 1533-position model. The record is from RNAcentral.